UCCUACGGGAGGCAGCAGUGAGGAAUAUUGGUCAAUGGACGAAAGUCUGAACCAGCCAGCCGCGUGCAGGAUGACUGCCUUAUGGGUUGUAAACUGCUUUUAUUCAGGAAGAAAUGUCCCCACGAGUUGGGUACUUGACGGUACUGUUUGAAUAAGGAUCGGCUAACUCCGUGCCAGCAGCCGCGGUAAUACGGAGGAUCCAAGCGUUAUCCGGAAUCAUUGGGUUUAAAGGGUCCGUAGGCGGGUAGAUUAGUCAGCGGUGAAAGUUUAUGGCUCAACCAUAAAAUUGCCGUUGAUACUGUUUAUCUUGAAUAAGUGUGAAGUGGUUAGAAUGAGUAGUGUAGCGGUGAAAUGCAUAGAUAUUACUCGGAAUACCAAUUGCGAAGGCAGAUCACUAACACUUUAUUGACGCUGAGGGGCGAAAGCGUGGGGAGCAAACAGGAUUAGAUACCCUGGUAGUCCACGCNGUAAACGAUGGAUACUAGUUGUUCGGGUUACAUUGGUAGUGAGUGACUAAGCGAAACAUAANU
This 530-nucleotide ribosomal RNA is filed under the name uncultured bacterium. RNAcentral's name for it is "bacterial SSU rRNA". It matches the Rfam family "Bacterial small subunit ribosomal RNA", at positions 337 to 865 of the family's 1533-position model. The record is from RNAcentral.